This is a non-coding RNA of Centaurea solstitialis (yellow star-thistle), 74 nucleotides long. NCBI's taxonomy places the organism in Eukaryota, Viridiplantae, Streptophyta, Magnoliopsida, Asterales, Asteraceae. The record is from the annotation of a GenBank genome assembly.
GCAUCUAUGGCUAAAUGGUUAAAGCAUUUAACUCAUAAUUGGUGAAUUCAUAGGUAAAAUUCCUAUUGGAUGCA